CGCUUCUUCAAGCCCGGCUUGUGUGUUGAGCAUCUGUUCUUCUGAUGGACAUGCUUAAAAUGCAGUGGCAAUGCUGCAUCUGGUAGCCCAAGCAUUAUAAGGCCCAUCUGCUUUGUUGGCUCCAGUCGGCAUUUAGCCUCUACUAAACCUUUUAUCCG
This 158-nucleotide unclassified non-coding RNA is filed under the name uncultured Eurotiomycetes. RNAcentral describes it as "sequence contains ITS2". Lineage: Eukaryota; Fungi; Ascomycota; Eurotiomycetes. The record is from RNAcentral.